Molecule: non-coding RNA, 89 nt
Filed under: pig gut metagenome
Description: PGK RNA
Rfam family: PGK RNA
About the family: mammalian gut metagenomes.
Source: RNAcentral
CUAAUCUUAUUUGAAUCUGGGCCUUACAAUUGUAAAUGAGAAAGAAACUCAUGAGAAUAAGAUAUCACAUUAAAUACUGAUAAUAUUUA